This 335-nucleotide ribosomal RNA is filed under the name Zatavua cf. analalava DNA100433837. Its description in RNAcentral is "partial 12S ribosomal RNA". The record is from RNAcentral. Lineage: Eukaryota; Metazoa; Arthropoda; Arachnida; Araneae; Pholcidae.
CUUUAAUUUCUAUUGGUAGUAAAAUAAAUUUUAAACCUCCAUAUAAUGGCGGUCUUUAUAUAUUAGAGAAACUCGCUUUAUAAUCGACAACACUCGAUAAUUUUAACUUAAUUUUAACAUAGUCUAUAUACCGCCGUAUAAAUCUAUCUUAAUAGAUAAAGAUUAAAAAUUAUUUGUUUUAUAACUAAAAUCAGGUCAAGGUGUAGCCAAUAAUUAAGAAAAAGUAAGUUACAUUAAAAUUAAUUUAAGGAAGAAUAAUAAAUAAUUAAACAAGAAAAAGAAUUUAUUUGUACAUUAGAAUUAAAAAUUCUAUUAGAAUAAAAUUAUAAAGAUGC